GGCCCCGUCGUCUAGUGGCCUAGGACUCCAGGUUUUCAUCCUGGCAACGCGGGUUCGAGUCCCGCCGGGGUCACCA
RNAcentral lists this transfer RNA (76 nucleotides) under Alphaproteobacteria bacterium. RNAcentral describes it as "tRNA-Glu". It matches the Rfam family "tRNA". From Rfam's summary of the family: Transfer RNA (tRNA) molecules are approximately 80 nucleotides in length. Their secondary structure includes four short double-helical elements and three loops (D, anti-codon, and T loops). The record is from RNAcentral. Lineage: Bacteria; Pseudomonadati; Pseudomonadota; Alphaproteobacteria.